RNAcentral lists this ribosomal RNA (274 nucleotides) under uncultured bacterium. RNAcentral's name for it is "partial 16S ribosomal RNA". It matches the Rfam family "Bacterial small subunit ribosomal RNA", at positions 523 to 796 of the family's 1533-position model. The record is from RNAcentral.
AUACGAAGGGGGCAAGCGUUGUUCGGAAUAACUGGGCGUAAAGCGCACGUAGGCGGAAUGUUAAGUUAGAGGUGAAAUCCCAGGGCUCAACCCUGGAACGGCCUUUAAUACUGGCAAUCUAGAGACCGAGAGAGGUGAGUGGAAUUCCGAGUGUAGAGGUGAAAUUCGUAGAUAUUUGGAGGAACACCAGUGGCGAAGGCGGCUCACUGGCUCGGUACUGACGCUCAGGUGCGAAAGCGUGGGGAGCAAACAGGAUUAGAAACCCCAGUAGUCC